Bufo gargarizans (Asiatic toad) is the source of this 1382-nucleotide long non-coding RNA. RefSeq lists it as uncharacterized. The transcript has 3 exons. NCBI's taxonomy places the organism in Eukaryota, Metazoa, Chordata, Amphibia, Anura, Bufonidae. The record is from RefSeq and is a predicted model, not a curated record.
ACGCGCGUGCAAAACGCAUUUAAAUGUUUUGCACUCGCACAGAAAAAUCGCACAUUUUCCCGCGACGCACCCGCAUCUUAUCCGGGCCAAAAACAUAACGCCCGUGUGAAAGAGGCCUUACUGUUUUCCCUCUUCUGAUGGUGGUAGCCAACAACUUGUAACGUGCAUGAUGCAUUUUCAGCUGUGUAGCACAUCUUUAGUUGUAAUUUAUAUAUUUUUUUUUUUUCCUAUUUCUUUUCUCACUGAAUUUGUAAUAUUGUGAAUAUAAUUUUCCUUUUUAUAUAUUUUUUUGCAUUGUUAACAUAUCUCUUGAAACCUUUCUUUACACUAGCUAUAAAACAUUAAAAUACUUUUUUCAGCAGUUGCAGUUUUUGCAGAUGUCACAUGAAUAAUUCAUAUUUCUAUUCUCCAUAGAACAGUAGCUGUGUCCCAUUUAGCUACUUUCUCCAGAGGCACAGGAAUAAAUAUUAUGCAGUGUGGCAGUUGAUGAAGUCAAGAAUCGGUGGCGGAGCUGCAGGGACCAAUUCCGGAAGGAAAGGCCGCAGAGGGUCGGAACCCAUCCAAGAAAAGGCCCUAUAUGUAUCAGGACCAGCUGAUGUUCCUGCGUCUGGUCGUGGAGCUGCAUCCAAUGGAGGACAACCUUGAGGAGGAAGCAGAUGAGUCGGCUUCCCAGCACUCAAUCACCUGUGAGGAGGAGACUCCCUCUGGUCCACCUCCUUCAGAGACUGAAGAAAGACCCGGCACCUCUGCAGCCUCGCGUCCCGCUGCUUCAGGAAUCUAUUCAUCCCCCCACUUUGCCCCUACCCAGCCGGCAAUGGAGACACCCCAUGCCUCCUGCCAAAGCUCUGGUCAAUAGCCAGGUCCUGGAUUAUUUGGCUAGAGCCCGGCAGGAGGACCAGUUUGAUUUAUAUGUCAGAAGUCUGGCACCUUAUUUGCAGAGUUUGCCUCCAGAAUAAUUGCUGAGAACCAAAGCAGCGCUCGGAAUCUUUCUGGAGGCAGCCACUCCGCCAUAUGAUCUGACAGACAUUUUUGUUGCCCUGGAAAAUUGGCACACCCAUGGGCACAUGUCUGGCCCCCUCCCUAAGGCCAUUCUACAUUGCUCACAGGGUCCGCCACAUUUCCAUGGUAGUAGGGAACAUUAUGGCCUAUCAAGUCGGCAUAUGGCCAACCAUAUCAGGCCCAGACUUUCUAUGGGCAGCCUGUCCCCUCCUCAUCCCAGGCUGGCCCAUCUGUUCACUCUGGCCCCCCUUCAAAACCCUCCUACCAUGGCCCUCAGUUUCAGGGUCCCCCAUCACCACAUGGCCGGUUCUUGAAUUUGUCAUUUUUCAUUUGUAUAUUUUAUAUAUGUUAUUAUAAUUUUUUUUUUUUAAGUCAAGUUGACU